UUGGAGGGCAAGUCUGGUGCCAGCAGCCGCGGUAAUUCCAGCUCCAAUAGCGUAUAUUAAAGUUGUUGCAGUUAAAAAGCUCGUAGUUGAAUUUCGGGGUCAGCAGGUUGGUCGUGCCAAUGGUAUGCACUGGCCUUGCUGAUUCCUCCCUCUUGAUGAGCCGUAAUGUCAUUAAUUUGGUGUUGCGGGGAAUCAGGACUGUUACUUUGAAAAAAUUAGAGUGUUUAAAGCAGGCAAGCGCUUGAAUACAUUAGCAUGGAAUAAUGAAAUAGGACGUUUGGUCCUAUUUUGUUGGUUUCUAGGAUUGACGUAAUGAUUAAUAGGGAUAGUUGGGGGCAUUAGUAUUCAAUUGUCAGAGGCGAAAUUCUUGGAUUUAUUGAGGACUAACUACUGCGAAAGCAUUUGCCAAGGAUGUUUUCAUUAAUCAAGAACGAAAGUUAGGGGAUCGAAGACGAUCAGAUACCGUCGUAGUCUUAACCAUAAACUAUGCCGACCAGGGAUCGGAUGAUGUUAAUUUUUUAAUGACUCAUUCGGCGCCUUACGGGAAAC
Molecule: ribosomal RNA, 549 nt
Filed under: uncultured Glomus
Lineage: Eukaryota; Fungi; Glomeromycota; Glomeromycetes; Glomerales; Glomeraceae
Description: SSU rRNA
Rfam family: Eukaryotic small subunit ribosomal RNA
Source: RNAcentral